This 666-nucleotide long non-coding RNA is filed under the name Setaria viridis. Its description in RNAcentral is "long non-coding RNA (SVIR_LNC001397)". The record is from RNAcentral. Lineage: Eukaryota; Viridiplantae; Streptophyta; Magnoliopsida; Poales; Poaceae.
GAACAUAUAAUGAUAACUCUAGUGAAGAAUGUUUCACAAUGCAAGUCCAACAAACAGUUCAAUUUCAGAAAGGCGCAUGCAUGAAUGUCCUGCCUCAGCCAUAGAUGGUGGUGUUGAGCAAUUUCUUCACAUCAGGUAGCCGGAGGUCGUCGUUUGGGGACUCAUAGUACGGAUAGUCAACAAAUGUCUGCAUUAUUCAGAACCAUGUCCAACAAAUAACCACAUGAGCAAGAUGCAAAACCAAUGCAACUCUUGUUACUUAAACACUACAGCGAAGUAACAGGAGCUACAGUUGCAAAAUACUACUGUUAUAGCAUAGUACAGGUUCAGAGAGAUUAUCCUAUGUUGUUUGGGGUGUUGCAGGGGCUCUUUUCGGCAGCCGAAGCAAUAAGGACUAUGGUGGUGACCGCCGGGUGAUCGUGUACGCUAUAACGUCAUAAAUUCAUGUGAUCUUCACUCCAGCAAGUCCCACGCCUUUUUGAUGAUCGAUCAAAGGUCUUCUGCUCACUGUCAGCAUCAAGUUUUCCAAGAUGAGACAUGCUAGAGGAAGAGGAAAACAAGGGAUAUUCUCGUGGUAGGAAAACAAGGAAGAUUUGCACAUGUAUUUUCGCUACUGCUUCUUUCCCAUCUCUUCUCCAUUAUUUAUCAUCUCUUUUUCAGGGCGGU